This 465-nucleotide ribosomal RNA is filed under the name uncultured bacterium. RNAcentral describes it as "partial 16S ribosomal RNA". It matches the Rfam family "Bacterial small subunit ribosomal RNA", at positions 29 to 507 of the family's 1533-position model. The record is from RNAcentral.
AUGAACGCUGGCGGCGUGCUUAACACAUGCAAGUCGAACGGAAAGGCCAGUGCUUGCACUGGUACUCGAGUGGCGAACGGGUGAGUAACACGUGGGUGAUCUGCCCUGUACUUCGGGAUAAGCUUGGGAAACUGGGUCUAAUACCGGAUAGGACAAAUUUUUGGAUAUUGUUGUGGAAAGCUUUUGCGGUAUGGGAUGAGCUCGCGGCCUAUCAGCUUGUUGGUGGGGUAAUGGCCUACCAAGGCGUCGACGGGUAGCCGGCCUGAGAGGGUGUACGGCCACAUUGGGACUGAGAUACGGCCCAGACUCCUACGGGAGGCAGCAGUGGGGUAUAUUGCACAAUGGGCGCAAGCCUGAUGCAGCGACGCCGCGUGGGGGAUGAAGGCCUUCGGGUUGUAAACUCCUUUCGCUAGGGACGAAGCGUAAGUGACGGUACCUGGAGAAGAAGCACCGGCUAACUACGUG